GAUGAACGCUGGCGGCGUGCCUAAUACAUGCAAGUCGAGCGAACGGACGAGAAGCUUGCUCCUCUGAUGUUAGCGGCGGACGGGUGAGUAACACGUGGAUAACCUACCUAUAAGACUGGGAUAACUUCGGGAAACCGUAGCUAAUACCGGAUAAUAUUUUGAACCGCAUGGUUCAAAAGUGAAAGACGGUUUUGCUGUCACUUUUAGAUGGAUCCGCGCUGCAUUAGCUAGUUGGUAAGGUAACGGCUUACCAAGGCAACGAUGCGUAGCUGACCUGAGAGGGUGAUCGGCCACACUGGAACUGAGACACGGUCCAGACUCCUACGGGAGGCAGCAGUAGGGAAUCUUGCGCAAUGGGCGAAAGCCUGACGGAGCAACGCCGCGUGAGUGAUGAAGGUCUUCGGAUCGUAAAGCUCUGUUAUUAGGGAAGAACAUAUGUGUAAGUAACUGUGCACAUCUUGACGGUACCUAAUCAGAAAGCCCCGGCUAACUACGUG
This 497-nucleotide ribosomal RNA is filed under the name uncultured bacterium. RNAcentral describes it as "partial 16S ribosomal RNA". It matches the Rfam family "Bacterial small subunit ribosomal RNA", at positions 28 to 507 of the family's 1533-position model. The record is from RNAcentral.